RNAcentral lists this ribosomal RNA (402 nucleotides) under uncultured Hyphomicrobium sp. RNAcentral describes it as "bacterial SSU rRNA". It matches the Rfam family "Bacterial small subunit ribosomal RNA", at positions 355 to 774 of the family's 1533-position model. Lineage: Bacteria; Pseudomonadati; Pseudomonadota; Alphaproteobacteria; Hyphomicrobiales; Hyphomicrobiaceae. The record is from RNAcentral.
UGGGGAAUAUUGGACAAUGGGCGCAAGCCUGAUCCAGCCAUGCCGCGUGAGUGACGAAGGCCUUAGGGUUGUAAAGCUCUUUUGGCGGGGACGAUAAUGACGGUACCCGCAGAAUAAGCCCCGGCUAACUUCGUGCCAGCAGCCGCGGUAAUACGAAGGGGGCUAGCGUUGUUCGGAAUUACUGGGCGUAAAGCGCACGUAGGCGGAUUUGUAAGUCAGGGGUGAAAUCCCGGGGCUCAACCUCGGAACUGCCUUUGAUACUGCGAAUCUUGAGUCCGAUAGAGGUGGGUGGAAUUCCUAGUGUAGAGGUGAAAUUCGUAGAUAUUAGGAAGAACACCGGUGGCGAAGGCGGCCCACUGGAUCGGUACUGACGCUGAGGUGCGAAAGCGUGGGGAGCAAACA